Molecule: non-coding RNA, 263 nt
Organism: Pelobates cultripes (western spadefoot toad)
Lineage: Eukaryota; Metazoa; Chordata; Amphibia; Anura; Pelobatidae
Source: the annotation of a GenBank genome assembly
GCUAUAACACACCAGAUGAAUUAUGGGUAUGGUAGUUCCAAAAGCUAAUGUUAAACAGAUAUGUGGACAGAUUUGCCGUGAACCAAUUGCACCUUUGGAUUGGUAGUUGCAUAAGGGAACAGGAAGUUACGCGAUGCUCAAUAACAGCGUGCGCUGAGGAGAACUUAAGCUCAUGUGAAAAGCAUCCUGUAUGAAUACGGAACACCUGAGCGAACAAAGUGCGAUUGGAUAAUGAGGGAAAUAGGCUGGCAAUUUGAAUGAAC